Molecule: long non-coding RNA, 1207 nt
Organism: Raphanus sativus (radish)
Lineage: Eukaryota; Viridiplantae; Streptophyta; Magnoliopsida; Brassicales; Brassicaceae
Exons: 3
Source: RefSeq, a predicted model, not a curated record
GAGCCCGACAAUUUCAAUUCAUCUUCAACUUCUCGAGUCUCUGAAAUCGGCUCUUCCACUCUGUCUUACAUCUCUGUAACCCUCUCUUAAUCAAUGAUACUUUUUAAUACCUUAUGGCUGUUUCGUUCCACCUUCCGUUCAUCCUACUCCUAUAUAUAUAUGGCUUCCUCUAAACCUAAAUCGUAUCAAAAUCGAAACCUAGCUGUAAGAGCAACUGAAACCACUAAUCGCGGUAGUACUCCUUCUGAUCGAUGAGCAGAUUGCUUUCAGUGGUGUAAUCUCAAAGAAGAUAUCUCAGAUUCUAUUGUCUUUGGAGCAUACCGUCAUAUCAAAAUCUGGUGGUGGAAAACUAGAUCUGCUUAUCUUGGAUACAUCGUUUAAGACAUGAUCACUCAACAGCACUUAUGUUUCCCAGGCCACAUGUUAGCUUAAUUUUAAAGAUUGUUUUCUCUCAUUUUAUGGUAUAUGCUUACUUUGAUUUGCGUAGACACUAGAGAAAAUCAAAAUUCUGUGUACUAAAAGAGGUAUUUUAGUCAGAAUGACUCACGAGUUUUAUCACCACAAGGACAGCGAGUGUCUUGAAGAGUGGUCUAAUAGGCACAAAAGUUUAGAAACCAUCACCAACUGUCUUAAUAAACCAUACGCAGAGUGAUAAUCUUAUUUGUUUGCUGCAGAUAAAUUUGAGCAUCUUCGGGAUAGUUUGCUGAAUUUGAACGACUUAUCUUGGUUUUGAUUAUCUGCGGCUGGAGGAAGCAGCGAGCAGACUUUCACCGGUCUGCUGGAAACCUUGCUAUAGGAGACUUCACUGCAGCAGUAAGGAAAUUCACAGAGGGCCAUUCAGAGUUUGUGAUGGGAUCCAUCUCGGUUAAUCCUGCGUCUUGGAAAAAUGGGAGAUGUGUAUCCGUCUAUGAUUCACGCAAUGCCUGGUGUUCAAGUGGUGAAAAAUGGUGAUGAACUUGGUCAACAAUACAACACUCCACACUCUGUGAGCUUGCUUCUAGCCUUAAUAUUCAUAGUUAGUACCUUGUGCGGUAUCUCAGGAAACUAUCGGUUUUGUGUAUGCUUCUUGACCUUCUGGAAUUUUUUGAUUUGAGGAACCUUUUUUUUUUUUUUUUUUUGGUAACAUGUUAAGCUAGAUUUGAGGAACCUUUCCUUUUGCAUGAUGUUUCAUCUUUGUAUUUUUAUUGAUUUUAAUUUCUUUUAAAAA